Acinonyx jubatus (cheetah) is the source of this 5776-nucleotide long non-coding RNA. RefSeq lists it as uncharacterized. The transcript is spliced from 3 exons. NCBI's taxonomy places the organism in Eukaryota, Metazoa, Chordata, Mammalia, Carnivora, Felidae. The record is from RefSeq and is a predicted model, not a curated record.
AUCCAUUCAUCCAUUGAUGGACAUUUGGGCUCCAUACCUUGGCUAUUGUCAAUAAUGCCACUGUAAAUAUUGGGGUGCAUGUGCCCCUUCGAAACAGCAUACGUGUAUCCCUUGGAUAUAUACCUAACAGUGCAAUUGCUGGGUCGUAGGGUAGUUCUAUUUUUAAUUUUUUGAGGAACCUCCAUACUGUUUUCCAGAGUGGCCGCACCAGUUUGCAUUUCCACUAGCAGUGCAAAAGAGAUCCUCUUUCUUCGCAUCCUCGCCAACAUCUGUCGUUGCCUGAGUUGUUAACGUUAGCCCUUCUGACAGGGGUGAGGUGGUAUCUCACUGUGGCUGUGAUUUGUCUUUCCCUGAUGAUGAGUGCUGUUGAGCAUUUUUUCAUGUGUCGGUUGGCCAUCUGGAUGUCUUCUUUGGAGAAGUGUCUAUUCACGUCUGUUGCCCAUUUCUUCACUGGAUGAUCUGGUUUUCGGGUGUUGAGUUUGAUGAGUUCUUUAUAGAUUUUGGAUACUAACCCUUUAUCCGAUAUGUCAUUUGCAAGUAUCUUCUCCCAUUCCGUCGGUUGCCUUUUCGUUUUGUUGAUUGUUUCCUUCACUGUUCAGAAGCUUUUUAUCUUGAUGAGGUCCCAGUAGUUGAUUUUCAGGUGUUCUUUACGAGAAUCAAAUCAUUCCUGGAUGGAAUCUCAGUUUGGGACCUGGAAACGUCAGGCAUGAAAAUCUGAGCCUGGAGAGUUUCUUGCAGCAGUAGGGGCCCAUCCAGAUCUCACUCCCUGUAACUUCCCCUCGACUUCAAGUCCGGGCCUGGAAAGAACAGAAUCCAUUUCUGGCCUUUCAUAGACUUUUCCACCGGACCCAGGAGGUGAGUCCUGGUGUUGGGUUAUUCCGAGACCAUGUCCCUUUACAGGCACGUGGCAUUUGCUUUUAAUCUUCCCUGGGACUUUCUAUAAUCGUAUCUGACAAGUACUUUUAUCCCAGAUGGACCGAGAUGCUUGGUUCAGCUUGAAGGUUCAUCAGGCAGACCUGAUGUCUGCCCAGUCCUCAGCCUGAAGGAAAACUCUGGGCUGCAGCAUGGGUGGCUGGCUAGGAUAGAGUCAUGGGUCCUGUGGAGAGCGUCUGAGACCACAAGACCUGAGCCCUCUCGACUGUCUGGCUAUCCAUGAUCUCAGCCCUUCACUGGUCUGUGCAUCUCCCAUUGGGAUAAACUCAUCCCUCCCCAUUUGGCCACGAUCUCAAUGAGGUAUUCCAAGAUUGAGCCACGUCAGCUUCGAGUUUCCCGAAGGUGAAGACUCCGAAGGGCUUUGUGCAAAGGUCUUGAUCUUGGGGUUUGCACACAGGUGGAGGAUGUUAGAGCCUGGGUCCUCUGUAGGUGGAGGCCGGUGCUGGGUGCUAUGAUCCUCUCUCGCCAGGGGGCGCCACACUCCUCCUCUAUCUGUAUCCCUGUCUUGCUUCCAGAUUUCAAAGGCUUGGGAAAGGGGGUGGCGUACCUUCCAGACUCUCGGUCACUCCACUUUGUAAACUGCUUACGGGCCUCAAAGUUUCCUAGUGAAUAGGCUGACGAUUUUCUGAGAGAAAACACAGCUGACCUACCUGACAAGGGCUCUUUGAUAAGAUAACAACAGCGGACUGCAAACCCCCUUUCCUUCUUGGUUUCCAUUCUGGUUUCUGUUCCAUUCGACGACUCCAAAGUACUUUCCCCCUUCUCCAAGUAUGGCAUCAAACCCUUCUGGAGUCUUUAGUGGAGAAGAGGACCCGAGACAGUGGACUUGGCAAAAAAGGAGGCUCUCUCUCAGAAGAGUCUAAACACACCCUCGUUAGUCCUGGGUGCAGCCAGUAUGCCAAGAAACCACAUCGAGACUUCUUCCUCAGUGGCUCUUGGUUGUUACAAGGAGACCACGCUGGAAGGUCUCGGCCACACGGGAGGUUGGGCCCCGCUUCUCUACCACGUGUACCUGGAGACGUCGGUCUGAGGGGACACAUUCUCCAUUGUCACAGUUCUCAUUGUCCACGGGACUGCAGGAGGGGAAGCUGCUCAGGAGAUUUGGGGGGGCCCAGUCAGGGGUCCCGAGAGGGUGAGAGGUGAAGCCACCCCCUCGGAGAGGGGUUCACACCCACCCCCGGGAGCCGGGCCUGAGAGCAGGCAAUGGUCGUAGCCCGUGGGUACGUAUUGUUUCCUAAAUUCCCCGAGGCGGCUCGUCUUGCCCCUUCUCUUCCACCAUGGAUGUUUGCACCAGUGACAGGUUCCUGGCCGCACCAGACUCCACAUGGUUUUCCCACCUAGCCCCGCACCCACAUUCUCCCUGGAGCCUGGGACCUCGGGGUGGACGCCCCCGGACGCUCCACCAACUAGAUAUUUUAUUUUUUAUAUAUUUCUUUAAAGUUUAUUUUUACUUAUUUUGAGAGAGAGAUAGAGAGCGAGUGGGGGAGGGGAGGAGAGAGAGGGAGACAGAAUCCCAGGCACGUGCUGUCAGCGCAGAGUCUGACUUGGGCCUCGAACCCAUGAACUGUGAACUCAUGACCCAAGCCUUGGGGUUUUUUUUGUUUUUUUGUUUUUGUUUUUUUUCCUCAUUUCACUGCUUGCUCAUGGACCUGGGACCUCUCUCACCCACCUGCCUUCCUCCUCCUUGGGACCUGGGUCGGCCUCUGGUGGGAUUGAUGUUGCUUUCCCACACUUGCAUGGUGGCCUUCUGGAUGUCUCUGCACCCUCGUCUUAACGCACCUCCCUCGGUGCCGCCAACUGGUGUCGGCGCCCUUUGAGUGGUGGCGGGUGGGGGUGCUCCUGGGAGUGGCUGGGCCCAGCGGCAUCCAACUCUCUCAUUUCCCGGCUCCUUCCACCAACCCCUGACCACGCCGAACAGAUAUGGGACAGAAGUACUCAAGUGAGGCGGGGAGGGAGUCUGGAUUACAUGGAAAAUCCUUGCCGCUUUCCAAGAAGAAAUCAAGAGUUUGUAUCAAACACCUGAGGGUCAGGACAGGGCUUUUCAGCAAGUUCCCAAUCUCUGUAGAAAGUCAAGGUCCGCGGAAAAUUCGACACCCACGCGAGCCAGCGGACUGAGAUGGCUGCCGGUGGAAAUGAGCUCUGCUGGGGACAGCCCAUGCCUGCCAGCCCUAAGCCUCCUCCACUGCCCUGGCCUGGGCACUGCCGGGCUCUUUGCGUUCCCGGCCCAGAAAACAAUCCCGACCUGGGUCGGGGGCCCUCUUGGCUUCCCCCUCAAAACGUACAAAGCCCACAUUUUCUCCUUCUCUCUCUUUGCACCUUUCUCAUUGUGUCAUUGUGUUCCCCGAUCCCUGAUCACCUCCGGGGCUUAGCCAGUAAGCCUCUCCGUCAUGUCCAGCUCCAACCCAAGAGGCUUAACUUUUCCUAUCUAAGGUCAUCUGGAAGACCUGUCCUGUCUGCUCCCAGCCCACAUAGACCUGUUCUGUCUCCAUCUUUCUGCAUAUGUAUAGUGGGGCCGGCCCUGGAGCCAGAGACUAAAUACCAAAUUGCCUUGCUCUGCGUGAAGUCUUCUCCUGUUAAAGAGCAAAUUAUUCAAAGACACUUGUUCGAGACGGUAAGACAGACUUUAAUCCAGGGGUGGGGGGCAUGGCAAUAGGCGCAAGGACCCCUGUGGUGGAGAUUGGACUCCAUUCUGAAUACAGCAGGGGCAAGUAGGAGAUUAGAGCCAAGGAGUAGGGUGGGGACAGAGGAUGGUAAAUCACUAAGAGGAAACAUCAGGGGUGAAGGGGGUCCUCGCUAAACCCACCCAAUGGGGUUCUUGCUGAAGGCAGGCCAGGGUGGUCAGACGUCACCUGGGGGGCAGUGGGGGUGAGGAGCCCCAUCAGGCAUCGAGGGUGGGGGUUCUUGGUGAUCUGACUCAGCAGGAGUCAUGUGGGAACGAGGAAGGGCACCGCUUGGGGUGGGAGACGUUUCAAGAGCCGGGAAAAGUUUGUUCCAGCAAAGAAUCUUGGUCUCCAACAUUUGUCCCAAGGAUAAGCGGUGAGGGAUAGAAAUGAUACCACGCAGGGCCCCGCCAUGCCGUGGUUUCGGGAAGAUGAGUUUCUCACCUCCUGGAGCGCGCAUCCUCGUCAGGGAGCAAAAAGUCUUUGUUUAGGAAAAUAACCCGCUAAGGGGUGAAAGGGAUGCCCCGCAUGCCGCCUGGAGACAGGGAUGCCACCGCGCGAAUCUGCUCCUUCAACAGACAUUUAUGGAACACCGGCUGCAUGCUGGGGGUGCUGCUGCAGGACGCUGAGGACGCAGGAGGAACCUGCGCACAGAUCCAUGGUUUCUGUCGCUCCCCAGGUGAUGACAGCUCCCUUCCCUAAAAGCUUUGCCGGCUCCUCCUGCCUGAAGGUGAUGUCUGAACAACUCCAGACGAUGGGUGAUGACCCUUCACAGCCCAGACCCAGCUCACCUGUUCGGCCCCUCCUCUGAAAUCCCUCAGGAAGUCCCACUACCCUGAGAUCACGUCUGAUUCCUGGAUGUUCCUGGAAUGCAUCAGGCGGGCUGCAAAGCCUCCACACCCCGAAUUCCAUUCCCACAGCCUCCACACCUUCUCCCCUGCACCUUUCCUGCCGAUCCUUCCAAGCCAGGCUAGGGGACACUGGCCUCGUGGCUGUCCCUGACUAUGCCUAUUCUCCCCACCCAGCCCCCCUCGCUCCCCCCAACCCAGCAGCCACCAUCAUGCUGGCCUCCGGGCUCCAGUGGUGCUCCCGGCUGGCAGGGACGGACCGGAUCCUCGUGAGUUGCUUCCACGGUCUCUCCUCCUCCUGAACUGUACCAGGGAGAAGACCCGUGUCUUGUUUGUCUCAGUGCCCACCCAGCACCGGCACUCAACGAGCCUCUACCGAGUUGAGCUGUCUGGGCAGCGAGGGCGAGAAAUCCUUUUACCUAAGGAUCUAAAGAACUUUCCCCAGUGUUGGGAAGACAGGAAUAUCAACUAUGGCUGCAGCCUCCUCUCCGGUGAAUUUUCAUUCAACUCCCAGUAUAAAUAGCUCCCUUUCCCCCUAUCAGAAAACAUCUGCUCCCACUGAGCUGCCCAGGCCUGUACCAGCACUAUAAAUAUCCUGGCCGUGUCUAGCCUGCCCUGGCACAGGGGCCAGGAGAACUUGGAAAGAGUUGAACACCAAGCGAGGUGAGGGCAGCCGGAGUGAAGAAGCAGAAUUGCCCCAUCUCCCCCUCUUGCGCCCCCAGCCACAGGCCGACAACGCUUCCCGCGUGGGCUUGGAACCCCCCACGGUAGUCCUGGGAAUUUGGCAGAGGCAGUCAGCUACCCCUGCUCUCCUGGGUUUCGACACAGCGUGUGAUGCAAGGACCCCGCUCACGUCUCAGAGGCUGAGAUGCGGCUUGAAACUCAAUUUGAGCCAGCUCUCCCCAUUCCGGCGGGGAUCUUGCAGGAUGGGAGGUGAUAGGGCCUUGAGAGCAUUGCCUUUCAUGCACAUUUAUGCGGAAUCGUGUGAUGCUGUGCUCCUCGAAGCUACUCCUUAAACUCAAUAAACCGAAGGGCUGAAGUCCACAUGGUGGCGUGGUCUAGAAUCUGCACACAUUUCCGAGGUGGAAAAAGGGAGGCUAGUGUUGGGGAGAAGGGACCUGGGAAACAGCCUCCAUCUAAAAACACCAGCCGCAGGGGCGCCUGGGUGGCUCAGUCGGUUGAACGUCCGACCUCGGCUCAGGUCAUGAUCUCACGAUCUGUGGGUUCGAGCCCCGCGUCGGCCUCUGUGCUGACAGCUCGGAGCCUGGAGCCCGCUUUCGGAUUCUGUGUCUCCCUCUCUCUCUGUCCCUCCCCUGCUUGCACCCUGUCUCUCUG